This 354-nucleotide ribosomal RNA is filed under the name bacterium LimA-100-J-170. Its description in RNAcentral is "bacterial SSU rRNA". It matches the Rfam family "Bacterial small subunit ribosomal RNA", at positions 294 to 640 of the family's 1533-position model. RNAcentral also lists the same sequence under 1 other name. The record is from RNAcentral.
GACAGGAUGAUCCGCCACACUGGGACUGAGACACGGCCCAGACUCCUACGGGAGGCAGCAGUGGGGAAUUUUGGACAAUGGGCGUAAGCCUGAUCCAGCCAUGCCGCGUGUCUGAAGAAGGCCUUCGGGUUGUAAAGGACUUUUGUCCGGGAGCAAAUCCCAGUGGUUAAUACCUACUGGGGCUGAGAGUACCGGAAGAAUAAGCACCGGCUAACUACGUGCCAGCAGCCGCGGUAAUACGUAGGGUGCAAGCGUUAAUCGGAAUUACUGGGCGUAAAGCGUGCGCAGGCGGUUGUGCAAGUCUGAUGUGAAAGCCCCGGGCUUAACCUGGGAACGGCAUUGGAGACUGCACGA